RNAcentral lists this ribosomal RNA (324 nucleotides) under uncultured eukaryote. RNAcentral describes it as "partial 18S ribosomal RNA". It matches the Rfam family "Eukaryotic small subunit ribosomal RNA", at positions 1470 to 1796 of the family's 1831-position model. The record is from RNAcentral.
CCCUUAGAUGUUCUGGGCCGCACGCGCGCUACACUGAUGCAUUCAACGAGUCUAAAACCUGCUCUGAUAGGGGUGGGUAAUCUUUUGAAUGUGCAUCGUGAUGGGGAUAGAUUAUUGCAAUUAUUAGUCUUGAACGAGGAAUUCCUAGUAAGCACAAGUCAUCAGCUUGUGUUGAUUACGUCCCUGCCCUUUGUACACACCGCCCGUCGCUCCUACCGAUUGAAUGUUCCGGUGAGCUCUUCGGACUGCGCGGUCUGCAGUUUCUGCGUUCCGUGCGGAAAGUUGCGCAAACCUUAACAUUUAGAGGAAGGAGAAGUCGUAACA